This 253-nucleotide ribosomal RNA is filed under the name uncultured bacterium. RNAcentral describes it as "partial 16S ribosomal RNA". It matches the Rfam family "Bacterial small subunit ribosomal RNA", at positions 524 to 776 of the family's 1533-position model. The record is from RNAcentral.
UACGGGGGGGGCAAGCGUUGUCCGGAAUUACUGGGCGUAAAGGGCUUGUAGGUGGCCAACUAAGUCAGACGUGAAAUCCCCCGGCUUAACCGGGGAACUGCGUCUGAUACUGGAUGGCUAGAGAUUGGGAGAGGGACGCGGAAUUCCAGGUGUAGCGGUGAAAUGCGUAGAUAUCGGGAGGAACACCUGUGGCGAAGGCGGCCCCCUGGUUGGAUACUGACGCUGAUACGCGAAAGCGUGGGGAGCAAACAGG